RNAcentral lists this ribosomal RNA (459 nucleotides) under uncultured bacterium. Its description in RNAcentral is "partial 16S ribosomal RNA". It matches the Rfam family "Bacterial small subunit ribosomal RNA", at positions 338 to 795 of the family's 1533-position model. The record is from RNAcentral.
CCUACGGGAGGCAGCAGUGAGGAAUAUUGGUCAAUGGGCGCGAGCCUGAACCAGCCAAGCCGCGUGAAGGAUGACGGCCCCACGGGUUGUAAACUUCUUUUAUAAAGGAAUAAAGUGAGGCACGUGUGCCUUUUCGUGUGUACUUUAUGAAUAAGGAUCGGCUAACUCCGUGCCAGCAGCCGCGGUAAUACGGAGGAUGCGAGCGUUAUCCGGAUUUAUUGGGUUUAAAGGGUGCGUAGGCGGAAUGUCAAGUCAGCGGUAAAAGCGCGGGGCUCAACCCCGCUGCGCCGUUGAAACUGGCGUUCUUGAGAUGUCGAGAGGUAUGCGGAAUGCGUAGUGUAGCGGUGAAAUGCAUAGAUAUCGCGCAGAACUCCGAUUGCGAAGGCAGCAUACCGGCGCCCAACUGACGCUGAAGCACGAAAGCGUGGGUAUCGAACAGGAUUAGAUACCCGGGUAGUC